Molecule: small nuclear RNA, 57 nt
Filed under: Panthera tigris altaica (Amur tiger)
Lineage: Eukaryota; Metazoa; Chordata; Mammalia; Carnivora; Felidae
Source: RNAcentral
UUUAGCAUGGCCCCUGUGCAAGGAUGAUUGCAAAUUCGUGAAGCAUUGCAUAUUUUU